UUUUAUGAGAGUUUGAUCCUGGCUCAGGACGAACGCUGGCGGCGUGCCUAAUACAUGCAAGUCGAACGCUUCUUUUUCCACCGGAGCUUGCUCCACCGGAAAAAGAGGAGUGGCGAACGGGUGAGUAACACGUGGGUAACCUGCCCAUCAGAAGGGGAUAACACUUGGAAACAGGUGCUAAUACCGUAUAACAAUCGAAACCGCAUGGUUUUGAUUUGAAAGGCGCUUUCGGGUGUCACUGAUGGAUGGACCCGCGGUGCAUUAGCUAGUUGGUGAGGUAACGGCUCACCAAGGCCACGAUGCAUAGCCGACCUGAGAGGGUGAUCGGCCACAUUGGGACUGAGACACGGCCCAAACUCCUACGGGAGGCAGCAGUAGGGAAUCUUCGGCAAUGGACGAAAGUCUGACCGAGCAACGCCGCGUGAGUGAAGAAGGUUUUCGGAUCGUAAAACUCUGUUGUUAGAGAAGAACAAGGAUGAGAGUAACUGUUCAUCCCUUGACGGUAUCUAACCAGAAAGCCACGGCUAACUACGUGCCAGCAGCCGCGGUAAUACGUAGGUGGCAAGCGUUGUCCGGAUUUAUUGGGCGUAAAGCGAGCGCAGGCGGUUUCUUAAGUCUGAUGUGAAAGCCCCCGGCUCAACCGGGGAGGGUCAUUGGAAACUGGGAGACUUGAGUGCAGAAGAGGAGAGUGGAAUUCCAUGUGUAGCGGUGAAAUGCGUAGAUAUAUGGAGGAACACCAGUGGCGAAGGCGGCUCUCUGGUCUGUAACUGACGCUGAGGCUCGAAAGCGUGGGGAGCAAACAGGAUUAGAUACCCUGGUAGUCCACGCCGUAAACGAUGAGUGCUAAGUGUUGGAGGGUUUCCGCCCUUCAGUGCUGCAGCUAACGCAUUAAGCACUCCGCCUGGGGAGUACGACCGCAAGGUUGAAACUCAAAGGAAUUGACGGGGGCCCGCACAAGCGGUGGAGCAUGUGGUUUAAUUCGAAGCAACGCGAAGAACCUUACCAGGUCUUGACAUCCUUUGACCACUCUAGAGAUAGAGCUUCCCCUUCGGGGGCAAAGUGACAGGUGGUGCAUGGUUGUCGUCAGCUCGUGUCGUGAGAUGUUGGGUUAAGUCCCGCAACGAGCGCAACCCUUAUUGUUAGUUGCCAUCAUUCAGUUGGGCACUCUAGCAAGACUGCCGGUGACAAACCGGAGGAAGGUGGGGAUGACGUCAAAUCAUCAUGCCCCUUAUGACCUGGGCUACACACGUGCU
This 1253-nucleotide ribosomal RNA is filed under the name Enterococcus faecium. RNAcentral describes it as "bacterial SSU rRNA". It matches the Rfam family "Bacterial small subunit ribosomal RNA", at positions 1 to 1226 of the family's 1533-position model. The record is from RNAcentral. Lineage: Bacteria; Bacillati; Bacillota; Bacilli; Lactobacillales; Enterococcaceae.